UACAGAGGUCUCAAGCGUUGUUCGGAUUCAUUGGGCGUAAAGGGUGCGUAGGCGGCGCGGUAAGUCGGGCGUGAAAGCCCCGGGCUCAGCCCGGGAAGUGCGCUCGAAACUGCGCAGCUCGAGUGCCGGAGGGGAGAGUGGAAUUCCUGGUGUAGCGGUGAAAUGCGUAGAUAUCAGGAGGAAUACCGGUGGCGAAAGCGACUCUCUGGACGGCAACUGACGCUGAGGCACGAAAGCGUGGGGAGCAAACAGG
Molecule: ribosomal RNA, 253 nt
Filed under: uncultured bacterium
Lineage: Bacteria
Description: partial 16S ribosomal RNA
Rfam family: Bacterial small subunit ribosomal RNA
Source: RNAcentral